CUCCUUUCCAUUGAAUGUUUUGCCACAUGCAAACUUUCAUCGUCUGUCUCAGUGUACUUCUGUCUUCUGCUAGGCUUACUUUCAAAGGUUAAAAGAAUAGAGUCAAGAAAGCUCAGUGUCAGUUGGAGGUGAAGUCACCAGCAUUGCAUUUCUCCACCAGUCACAACUGAUAAGUUCAGAACCACAUCAGCAAUCAGAACAACAGAACUAGCAUCACCCUGUUUCAGCUGCUUCCCUUAAUGCUCGAAGGGAAGCCAGCUGCACUGAAUGCCUGCCUGAAGGAUGCGCAGUGGC
This is a long non-coding RNA of Vidua chalybeata, 294 nucleotides long. RefSeq lists it as uncharacterized. The record is from RefSeq and is a predicted model, not a curated record. The transcript has 3 exons. NCBI's taxonomy places the organism in Eukaryota, Metazoa, Chordata, Aves, Passeriformes, Viduidae.